This 75-nucleotide transfer RNA is filed under the name Candidatus Bathyarchaeota archaeon. RNAcentral describes it as "tRNA-Arg". It matches the Rfam family "tRNA". Rfam says of the family: Transfer RNA (tRNA) molecules are approximately 80 nucleotides in length. Their secondary structure includes four short double-helical elements and three loops (D, anti-codon, and T loops). Further hydrogen bonds mediate the characteristic L-shaped molecular structure. tRNAs have two regions of fundamental functional importance: the anti-codon, which is responsible for specific mRNA codon recognition, and the 3' end, to which the tRNAs corresponding amino acid is attached (by aminoacyl-tRNA synthetases). tRNAs cope with the degeneracy of the genetic code in two manners: having more than one tRNA (with a specific anti-codon) for a particular amino acid; and 'wobble' base-pairing, i.e. permitting non-standard base-pairing at the 3rd anti-codon position. The record is from RNAcentral. Lineage: Archaea; Thermoproteati; Candidatus Bathyarchaeota.
GGAUCCGUAACCUAGCCUGGAUUGGGUGCCGGACUUCUAAUCCGGAUAUCGAGGGUUCAAAUCCCUCCGGAUCCA